RNAcentral lists this ribosomal RNA (274 nucleotides) under uncultured bacterium. RNAcentral describes it as "partial 16S ribosomal RNA". It matches the Rfam family "Bacterial small subunit ribosomal RNA", at positions 523 to 796 of the family's 1533-position model. The record is from RNAcentral.
CUACGGAGGGUGCAAGCGUUAUCCGGAUUUAUUGGGUUUAAAGGGUGCGCAGGCGGACCUGUCAGUCAGUGGUGAAAUCCCGGGGCUCAACCCCGGAACUGCCAUUGAUACUACAGGUCUUGAAUACGGUUGAAGUAGGCGGAAUGUAGCAUGUAGCGGUGAAAUGCAUAGAUAUGCUACAGAACACCGAUCGCGAAGGCAGCUUACUAAGCCGAUAUUGACGCUCGGGCACGAAAGCGUGGGUAGCGAACAGGAUUAGAAACCCUAGUAGUCC